RNAcentral lists this ribosomal RNA (341 nucleotides) under uncultured bacterium. RNAcentral's name for it is "bacterial SSU rRNA". It matches the Rfam family "Bacterial small subunit ribosomal RNA", at positions 179 to 507 of the family's 1533-position model. The record is from RNAcentral.
AAUUAAACCGCAUGGUUUAGUUUAAAGAUGGUCUUGCUACACUAAGAGAUGGUCCCGCGGUGUAUUAGUUAGUUGGUGAGGUAAUGGCUCACCAAGACAAUGAUACAUAGCCCGAGUUUGGGGAGACUUGACCGGCCACAAUGGGACUGAGACACGGCCCAUACUCCUACGGAGGCAGCAGUAGGGAAUCUUCCACAAUGGACGAAAGUCUGAUGGAGCAACGCCGCGUGUGUGAUGAAGGGUUUCGGCUCGUAAAACACUGUUGUAAGAGAAGAAUGACAUUGAGAGUAACUGUUCAAUGUGUGACGGUAUCUUACCAGAAAGGAACGGCUAAAUACGUG